Molecule: non-coding RNA, 376 nt
Organism: Salvia hispanica
Lineage: Eukaryota; Viridiplantae; Streptophyta; Magnoliopsida; Lamiales; Lamiaceae
Source: RefSeq, a predicted model, not a curated record
GUUGGGUUUUCCCUGCAACGGCAGCAGACCAUCUGUCUCAGAGCCGGGCUUAACAAAUGACAAAGGUGUGGGUCCUCCUUCGUCUUGUGCUUCUUUCCCUUAAGGUGCUCAUUCAGAGUAUGUUCGCUGGUUGCAGUAACUUGGCAGAGGGUGCAACUCCACUCCUCUUUCACUCUCUUCUGCUUCUUCAAGUUGCCAUCUGACUGGGGACUUGUGCCCGAUCCAGGGUUAGGCCUCUUAGCUCCAGUUAUAUUUUCGGUUGGCUUAGCCUGCAAUACUCGCAAAACAUACUGAUCAUAAAUAUUGUACAAAAAUUACACAUGUUGAUUUGAUGUUACAGAAUUUUUAGCUAAAAAAGAAAGAAUAUCGACCAGUA